GGGGAAUAUUGGUCAAUGGGCGCAAGCCUGAACCAGCCACGCCGCGUGAGUGAUGAAGGCCUUCGGGUUGUAAAGCUCUGUGGGGAGGGAAGAAAACGGCCAGUAAGAAACGACUGGUCCUUGACGGUACCUCCCUAGCAAGCACCGGCUAACUCGGUGCCAGCGGCCGCGGUAAUACAGAGGGUGCGAACGUUGCUCGGAAUUACUGGGCGUAAAGCGCGUGUAGGCGGGACCGCAAGUCAGAUGUGAAAUCCCCGAGCUCAACUCGGGAACUGCAUCUGAAACUGCGGACCUUGAGUACUGGAGAGGGCGGCGGAAUUCCUGGUGUAGAGGUGAAAUUCGUAGAUAUCAGGAGGAACACCGGUGGCGAAGGCGGCCGCCUGGACAGUCACUGACGCUGAGACGCGAAAGCGUGGGGAGCAAA
This 424-nucleotide ribosomal RNA is filed under the name uncultured bacterium. Its description in RNAcentral is "bacterial SSU rRNA". It matches the Rfam family "Bacterial small subunit ribosomal RNA", at positions 356 to 772 of the family's 1533-position model. The record is from RNAcentral.